RNAcentral lists this ribosomal RNA (274 nucleotides) under uncultured bacterium. RNAcentral's name for it is "partial 16S ribosomal RNA". It matches the Rfam family "Bacterial small subunit ribosomal RNA", at positions 523 to 796 of the family's 1533-position model. The record is from RNAcentral.
AGACAGAGGUGGCAAGCGUUGUUCGGAUUUACUGGGCGUAAAGGGCGUGUAGGCGGAUAGUCAAGUCAGGCGUGAAAGCCCCGGGCUCAACCUGGGAACUGCGCUUGAUACUGGCAAUCUAGAGUCCGGAAGAGGGUGGUGGAAUUCCCAGUGUAGAGGUGAAAUUCGUAGAUAUUGGGAAGAACACCAGUGGCGAAGGCGGCCACCUGGUCCGGUACUGACGCUGAGGCGCGAAAGCGUGGGGAGCAAACAGGAUUAGAAACCCCGGUAGUCC